Molecule: long non-coding RNA, 220 nt
Organism: Lolium rigidum
Lineage: Eukaryota; Viridiplantae; Streptophyta; Magnoliopsida; Poales; Poaceae
Exons: 2
Source: RefSeq, a predicted model, not a curated record
GACUAUGUCUGGUUUGGUGUGCUAAUGUGCUGAAAUGGUUCUGAAGGUGAAGGGAUGGCUGCUGCGGUUCUCGACGAGUGCGGUCGGCAGUGUUAACAUGUUAUCUGCAUUCUUUUUUUUUUAACCCUAGACUAAGCCUAUCAUGUGAAUACGUGACGAUGUCUUUCUUGAAUAUUUGUCCCUUCCAGUUUUUUGCCUACUGUGUGUGAUAUUUUUUCAA